RNAcentral lists this transfer RNA (74 nucleotides) under Climacium dendroides. RNAcentral describes it as "tRNA-Pro". The stretch from base 12 to 74 matches the Rfam family "tRNA", at positions 1 to 60 of the family's 71-position model. From Rfam's summary of the family: Transfer RNA (tRNA) molecules are approximately 80 nucleotides in length. Their secondary structure includes four short double-helical elements and three loops (D, anti-codon, and T loops). Further hydrogen bonds mediate the characteristic L-shaped molecular structure. tRNAs have two regions of fundamental functional importance: the anti-codon, which is responsible for specific mRNA codon recognition, and the 3' end, to which the tRNAs corresponding amino acid is attached (by aminoacyl-tRNA synthetases). tRNAs cope with the degeneracy of the genetic code in two manners: having more than one tRNA (with a specific anti-codon) for a particular amino acid; and 'wobble' base-pairing, i.e. permitting non-standard base-pairing at the 3rd anti-codon position. Lineage: Eukaryota; Viridiplantae; Streptophyta; Bryopsida; Hypnales; Climaciaceae. The record is from RNAcentral.
GGAACAUCAGCCAAGGUGUAGCGCAGUCUGGUAGCGCAUCUGUUUUGGGUACAGAGGGCCAUAGGUUCAAAUCC